Molecule: ribosomal RNA, 253 nt
Filed under: uncultured prokaryote
Description: partial 16S ribosomal RNA
Rfam family: Bacterial small subunit ribosomal RNA
Source: RNAcentral
UACGAAGGUGGCAAGCGUUAUUCGGAUUUACUGGGCGUACAGGGAGCGUAGGCGGUUCGGUAAGCCCUUUGUGAAAUCUUCAGGCUUAACCUGGAACAGUCGGAGGGGACUGCCGGGCUGGAGGACGGGAGAGGAGCGCGGAAUUCCACGUGUAGCAGUGAAAUGCGUAGAGAUGUGGAGGAACACCGAUGGCGAAGGCAGCCCCCUGGGCUGAGAUUGACGCUCAGGCACGAAAGCGUGGGGAGCAAACAGG